Molecule: transfer RNA, 76 nt
Filed under: Desulfobotulus alkaliphilus
Lineage: Bacteria; Pseudomonadati; Thermodesulfobacteriota; Desulfobacteria; Desulfobacterales; Desulfobacteraceae
Also listed under: 4 other names
Description: tRNA-Arg
Rfam family: tRNA
About the family: Transfer RNA (tRNA) molecules are approximately 80 nucleotides in length. Their secondary structure includes four short double-helical elements and three loops (D, anti-codon, and T loops). Further hydrogen bonds mediate the characteristic L-shaped molecular structure. tRNAs have two regions of fundamental functional importance: the anti-codon, which is responsible for specific mRNA codon recognition, and the 3' end, to which the tRNAs corresponding amino acid is attached (by aminoacyl-tRNA synthetases). tRNAs cope with the degeneracy of the genetic code in two manners: having more than one tRNA (with a specific anti-codon) for a particular amino acid; and 'wobble' base-pairing, i.e. permitting non-standard base-pairing at the 3rd anti-codon position.
Source: RNAcentral
GCGCCCGUGGCCCAGUGGAUAAGGCGUCGGCCUCCGGAGCCGAAGAUCGCACGUUCGAGUCGUGCCGGGCGCGCCA